This 443-nucleotide ribosomal RNA is filed under the name uncultured bacterium. Its description in RNAcentral is "partial 16S ribosomal RNA". It matches the Rfam family "Bacterial small subunit ribosomal RNA", at positions 338 to 795 of the family's 1533-position model. The record is from RNAcentral.
CCUACGGGGGGCAGCAGUGGGGAAUAUUGGGCAAUGGGCGCAAGCCUGACCCAGCAACGCCGCGUGAAGGAAGAAGGCUUUCGGGUUGUAAACUUCUUUUCUCAGGGACGAAACAAGUGACGGUACCUGAGGAAUAAGCCACGGCUAACUACGUGCCAGCAGCCGCGGUAAUACGUAGGUGGCAAGCGUUAUCCGGAUUUACUGGGUGUAAAGGGAGUGUAGGCGGGGACGUAAGUCAGAUGUGAAAACCACGGGCUCAACCGUGGGACUGCAUUUGAAACUGUGUUUCUUGAGUACUGGGGAGGAAGACGGAAUUCCUGGUGUAGCGGUGAAAUGCGUAGAUAUUAGGAGGAACACCAGUGGCGAAGGCGGGCGGCUGGACAGCAACUGACGCUGAGGCGCGAAAGCGUGGGGAGCAAACAGGAUUAGAUACCCGUGUAGUC